AACUCAGCCGCCUUAGCGUCUUAGAGAAGAGGACGGCAUGCAUGCGGACCCCGUCCACCACACCUGGAGAGCAGGGAGCCCUUAGUCCCUGGACACUUACCAGGGCCGCCACCCCUGGUCCACGCACGUGAUGACAUCUCACCAGGGGCAGCACACCGCCCGAGUCCGCGACACUGAUAACACCUCCUGCGGGCAGGAGGGCGCCACAGCCACCCCUGGUCCCCUAGAUUGUGUGAGGCUAGCAUUUCUGCCCGCCUCUUGGCGUGGACAGCACGCUGGACCGAGAUGGAACCACAGCUUUCUCUUCCCAAUCCCUGGCCUCACCGUUUUGUUUCAUACCUCACCGUUUGUUUCAAACCUCGUGGUGUUGAAAUGAUUAAAUGAGAUUAAGGGGUGUGUGGUAGUGUUGGGCAAACCACAAGAAAACGGUCUGGGUGGGGUCUGGCCCUAAAAUCUUCCUCCCCCACCUCCCAGGCUUCCUUGCCUUGCUGCUUCCUCUCAGCCUUUAAACAGGUUGGCCUCUCCAAGUCCUAAAAACAAAAUUAUCAAGCCAACCUCCUCCUGAAGUGCUCCCUCCAACUAGCUUCCAAGUGUUUCAUGCGGACCUCAAACAAUGGUCUUCCCUGGCUGCCUCUGCUUCCUCAUUUCUCAACACUUGGCAUUCUGGCUUCUCCUCCCCAACUCUAACCCUUCACCUUGCUCAGGCAAGAGCAACUCAUGACUUUCAUUUUGCCAAACCUUGCAGGCAUUCCUCAGGCCUUAUCUCUCUGGUUCUUUCUGCUACAUUUGACACCUUGGGAUGACUCUCACCUUCUGGAAUCUCUCUACUACCUUGGUUUCAGAAGAGUGAACCCUCUGGAUUAUCACAUGAAGCCUCCGCAGGUGCUUCCUCUGUCCUUCUCUAAAUGUUGCUGUUCCCCAAGGCUCAACCCAGGAUCCAUUCCUGUGUCUACACAAGCUACUUCCUGUGAGCAGCCCAGGGAUGGCCAGUCACUUGUGACCUACUUUCAGAGCUGGCAGUUCUGACUUCUAGAACAAACUCGGAACAAGCCCAUCUACAGCUGGUUGACUGAGUUUCCUUUGGGCUCCUGGCACCAGAAAGAAUUGCUCACUGGAAGGAUCAUAGGUGGCACUCAUGUCUCACUGCCCCACUCAGGGAGAUGGGGCCCCAUGGUUGUGCUUUAAGGAUGCUGUGGACUCCCUACAAUGUCAGCAACUGCUGUGUGCACCUGUAGCUCUCCAUUUCUCUCGAGAGAAGUCCUGUAGUUCUUCGCAAAUCCUUUUCAAAGGGGACUCGUGAUUCCAGAAGCAUCGAAGCCUUGAGGCUUGCCUGGAGAUUUUAGGUCUGGUGGCUGCAGAUGCAUAUGAGAUGUGGACUGCAAGAUAUUUCUCUACUGUUCAAAUCACGUGUUGGAGGCGACUCCCUAAAGUCAUAGGAUCUCAAAAUUGAAAGGAGCCUUAGGAAUAACCUAGUUUUCAGCACCGAAGCGAAGCUCUCAAGACUUUGUCAAAGGUCAGGCAGUUAACUUAAUGGCCGCAGGAAAAGCAAAGUCCAGGUC
Homo sapiens (human) is the source of this 1559-nucleotide long non-coding RNA. Ensembl annotates it as ATP13A3 divergent transcript. Its record names the gene ATP13A3-DT. The record is from Ensembl. Lineage: Eukaryota; Metazoa; Chordata; Mammalia; Primates; Hominidae.